RNAcentral lists this ribosomal RNA (491 nucleotides) under uncultured bacterium. Its description in RNAcentral is "bacterial SSU rRNA". It matches the Rfam family "Bacterial small subunit ribosomal RNA", at positions 40 to 507 of the family's 1533-position model. The record is from RNAcentral.
CGGCGUGCCUAACACAUGCAAGUCGUACGAGAAAGCCGGCUUCGGCUGGUGAGUAAAGUGGCGCACGGGUGAGUAACGCGUGGAUAAUCUGCCCUUAAGUGUGGAAUAACGUACCGAAAGGUGCGCUAAUACCGCAUAAUGCCUGGCAACACAAGUUGUCCGGCCAAAGAAGGCCUCUGUUUACAAGCUUUCGCUUCAGGAUGAGUCCGCGUACCAUUAGCUUGUUGGUGGGGUAAUGGCCUACCAAGGCUGCGAUGGUUAGCUGGUCUGAGAGGAUGAUCAGCCACACUGGAACUGAGACACGGUCCAGACUCCUACGGGAGGCAGCAGUGAGGAAUAUUGCGCAAUGGGGGCAACCCUGACGCAGCAACGCCGCGUGAGUGAGGAAGGUUUUCGGACUGUAAAGCUCUGUCGAGCGGGAAGAAGUGUACCAUGGCUAAUAUCCAUGAUAUUUGACGGUACCGCUAGAGGAAGCACCGGCUAACCCCGUG